Molecule: long non-coding RNA, 440 nt
Filed under: Mytilus galloprovincialis (Mediterranean mussel)
Lineage: Eukaryota; Metazoa; Mollusca; Bivalvia; Mytilida; Mytilidae
Source: RNAcentral
AUUCUGCACAUACAGUCAUACUUGUUCAGUGUCACAUGAUACAUUUUACAAACAAAUUUCUUUCCAUAACUUUCACACAUACUCAUACCUUAGGCAUAGCACUUACAGAUAAUUACUUGCAUAGUACAUUUAUAAUAAAGGAAAAAAAAUCACAUACAAUCACACAUAAUCUAGAUCUAUACUAUAGCAUCUGUUGGUUUUUUUACUAUACAUGUAGCUUAAGUUAACUAUAAAAUGACUUCAUUAUUAUUCUUCAAAAUAUUCAACACCUUUGUUAAUAAACUGCUGAUCUCUAUAUUGGUCAUACUAUAUAAUUCUACAGUAUUUUCUACCUCAUAUUCAAAAAUUUUAAUGUGUCUACUGCUUUGGUUUUUUUUUAUUGGAAACAUAAUGUGUUUUAUAGACUGAAAAGAACAUUAAGCUAAGCAAAUGAUUUAGCG